Molecule: ribosomal RNA, 1542 nt
Filed under: Staphylococcus aureus
Lineage: Bacteria; Bacillati; Bacillota; Bacilli; Caryophanales; Staphylococcaceae
Description: 16S ribosomal RNA
Rfam family: Bacterial small subunit ribosomal RNA
Source: RNAcentral
AGAGUUUGAUCCUGGCUCAGGAUGAACGCUGGCGGCGUGCCUAAUACAUGCAAGUCGAGCGAACGGACGAGAAGCUUGCUUCUCUGAUGUUAGCGGCGGACGGGUGAGUAACACGUGGAUAACCUACCUAUAAGACUGGGAUAACUUCGGGAAACCGGAGCUAAUACCGGAUAAUAUUUUGAACCGCAUGGUUCAAAAGUGAAAGACGGUCUUGCUGUCACUUAUAGAUGGAUCCGCGCUGCAUUAGCUAGUUGGUAAGGUAACGGCUUACCAAGGCAACGAUGCAUAGCCGACCUGAGAGGGUGAUCGGCCACACUGGAACUGAGACACGGUCCAGACUCCUACGGGAGGCAGCAGUAGGGAAUCUUCCGCAAUGGGCGAAAGCCUGACGGAGCAACGCCGCGUGAGUGAUGAAGGUCUUCGGAUCGUAAAACUCUGUUAUUAGGGAAGAACAUAUGUGUAAGUAACUGUGCACAUCUUGACGGUACCUAAUCAGAAAGCCACGGCUAACUACGUGCCAGCAGCCGCGGUAAUACGUAGGUGGCAAGCGUUAUCCGGAAUUAUUGGGCGUAAAGCGCGCGUAGGCGGUUUUUUAAGUCUGAUGUGAAAGCCCACGGCUCAACCGUGGAGGGUCAUUGGAAACUGGAAAACUUGAGUGCAGAAGAGGAAAGUGGAAUUCCAUGUGUAGCGGUGAAAUGCGCAGAGAUAUGGAGGAACACCAGUGGCGAAGGCGACUUUCUGGUCUGUAACUGACGCUGAUGUGCGAAAGCGUGGGGAUCAAACAGGAUUAGAUACCCUGGUAGUCCACGCCGUAAACGAUGAGUGCUAAGUGUUAGGGGGUUUCCGCCCCUUAGUGCUGCAGCUAACGCAUUAAGCACUCCGCCUGGGGAGUACGACCGCAAGGUUGAAACUCAAAGGAAUUGACGGGGACCCGCACAAGCGGUGGAGCAUGUGGUUUAAUUCGAAGCAACGCGAAGAACCUUACCAAAUCUUGACAUCCUUUGACAACUCUAGAGAUAGAGCCUUCCCCUUCGGGGGACAAAGUAGACAGGUGGUGCAUGGUUGUCGUCAGCUCGUGUCGUGAGAUGUUGGGUUAAGUCCCGCAACGAGCGCAACCCUUAAGCUUAGUUGCCAUCAUUAAGUUGGGCACUCUAAGUUGACUGCCGGUGACAAACCGGAGGAAGGUGGGGAUGACGUCAAAUCAUCAUGCCCCUUAUGAUUUGGGCUACACACGUGCUACAAUGGACAAUACAAAGGGCAGCGAAACCGUGAGGUCAAGCAAAUCCCAUAAAGUUAGUUCUCAGUUCGGAUUGUAGUCUGCAACUCGACUACAUGAAGCUGGAAUCGCUAGUAAUCGUAGAUCAGCAUGCUACGGUGAAUACGUUCCCGGGUCUUGUACACACCGCCCGUCACACCACGAGAGUUUGUAACACCCGAAGCCGGUGGAGUAACCUUUUAGGAGCUAGCCGUCGAAGGUGGGACAAAUGAUUGGGGUGAAGUCGUAACAAGGUAGCCGUAUCGGAAGGUGCGGCUGGAUCACCU